RNAcentral lists this ribosomal RNA (253 nucleotides) under uncultured bacterium. RNAcentral describes it as "partial 16S ribosomal RNA". It matches the Rfam family "Bacterial small subunit ribosomal RNA", at positions 524 to 776 of the family's 1533-position model. The record is from RNAcentral.
UACGGAGGGUGCAAGCGUUAUCCGGAUUCACUGGGUUUAAAGGGUGCGUAGGAGGGCAGGUAAGUCAGUGGUGAAAUCUCCAAGCUUAACUUGGAAACUGCCGCUGAUACUAUCUGUCUUGAAUAUUGUGGAGGUGAGCGGAAUAUGUCAUGUAGCGGUGAAAUGCUUAGAUAUGACAUAGAACACCAAUUGCGAAGGCAGCUCGCUACACAUAUAUUGACUCUGAGGCACGAAAGCGUGGGGAUCAAACAGG